GGGAGAGGUGGCGCGUUGCCUGGGUGCUCAUGGACACCAGGUCUGCUCCCCAUGCACUUGUCGUCUGUGCCACGCUGCAGGGGCCAGGCAGCCACAGGCAUCGUUUGGGCCCCGAGCUGGCCAGGCUGGAGUCAGGGCCCACUAAGCCGCAGGUGCCUCUUGCUUGGGGGUGGGGGCUGAAGGGUGUCUUCCUGCCGUGGAGCUAUAGCUGGUGCCUGGUUCCCUCUGUCCAGACACAGCUCUGGGCUUGCAGCCUCUGCCUCCCUGAUGGGACAGCAACCCUGGGCAUCGCUAGAGGCUCUGAGGUCUGCACGGGGCACCAUCCCGUAUUCUGCAGGGUCCAGAGACACAGAGAGGGAGGCCAGCCCAGCACCAUUGUGGGAGAAAGGCCAGUGAUGUCAUCAGGGGGCUAAGGCUGGCAGCCACCUUCUAGUGGACAUUACUGCUGAGAACUGGCCAGGUGCCUGCACUCGCUGCCAUGAGUAAUUGCCCAGUGGCCCGUGAGGUGCUGGCAGCUCCUCCAUUUACAAGUUAGGAGACAGGUACAGAGAGACCAGGUGGCCUGUUCCAGCAGCACUGCUCUGGCUCUUGACCACCACCACAUCAGCAGCAAAACCGCCAGGGCUGAAAUCAAUACAGAUUUAUCCAUUCUCACCAGGCUGCGGGCGCCUUGCAGGUCUGUGCUCCUAGCUGGGGGCCCAGAGAGACUCUGCUUCCAGGACUGCCCGAGUGUGGAAGGAACCCAGCUGCCAGCUGCAGGACUGAGGUCCCAUCUCCUCCCUGGCCUCGCACAGGCCCUCCUGCCUGCCAAGCAGCAAGUGAUGCCGCACCUCAGUCUCUCCCUCUGCUCUCCAGUUCCCUGGACCCCCAGCCCAAGCUCCGGUGAUUACCAGGUAAUUCCUGUCCCAAGACAGCCGCGCCGAGUGUCCUAACACAGUUGCCACACGGCUCCAUGUCCUGUGCACAGGCCAGGGGUUCGAGUGGGCAUCAGCAAUGCUCACUUCAGAGCCCCUCCGCCACGACGUGGCCAUGUGCACACAGCUCCGUGGCCAGCGCUGGAAACUGCGUCUCCUGCCUCCAGCUGCGUUACUUGGAGAAGCAGGAACCUCUCCAUCCUCACUUUCCAUCCGCACAUCCAGGGCCGCCCACGUGCACCCACACCGUGCGCUCACUGUGUGGCCUGUCGAGAACACAGUGUCCUCUGCCCCUGAUUUCCCAGGAGAGUCGCACGUCUGUGAUGGUGGUCUCCCAGGCACGCAUGGCCAUGGAGCACGGGAACGUGUGCGCCUGCUGGGAGCACAUGGGAAGACUGCACGCCGGGUGCUGAGGCUUCCUGUGAAAAAAAGAACCUGAAACAAGUCUUCCUGAGACCCAGGCUGGUGUGGACACAAGGAAGCCCCGCCGGAGGGCCCUCUUUACAUGGGGAGGCCUGAACCCUGAGCAGUCAAGGAAGUUUUGGAAGUGAGUAGCUAUGGCUUCUCCACCUGCUCCUGCCUGGACGGCGCCCUUCAGAACUCAAGCCCAUCCAUGAGACAGCACCCACCGGGGCCAGUGAGUCACUCCAUGAAGGCCAAAGAUCACCUGGACACGAGUCUCGGGGUAACCAGCCCCCCUGCAGACCUGCAGAAGCUUGGACAGCAAGUGGGAGUCAGCAGUCAGGAAACUCGGGGGCUUUGCACCUGGAGGGAAGCCCACCUGAUAUGAAAAUGCUUUCGAAGCUUGUGGAUCGGAGAGGCCAGUGGUGUACCGGGUGGUCCAAUCGAUCAGUCAGGACGAUCAUCAGCCCCAUUUCUCAGGUGCAGUACAGCACGUCCACGUCCUCCCGACACCGUGAGUGCGGCCACACCGAAGCCAGGGGAGCAGGUGCGCUUCUCCAUAGGUCCUGGUUUAAAGCAAGCGGAAACACCACAGGCUCGGGAUUGAGGUGGUAAGGGACGUCCAGUCCUCAGGUGAGGUUAAGUCCUUCUACAGAGACAGCACUGGGGGGACCUCACAGUGCCCCCCGGGAAGCGCUGUUUGGGCAGGCUGCAGGAGCUGAGGCCAGAGUCCUGGCACGGGGCUACGGGGCCCUUGGUGUCUUUCACUGCUGUGACGGGGGCUCCCUGCUGCCCCGGCACCUGCGGGCCUUGGCCAGUCCCGAACACCAGGUUGUGGCAGUGGAGACCUGGGGGGUGGCCAGCGGCCCCCUAUGGAGGUUCUGCCGUGCGUGUCAGGGCCCCAGGCAGGGCUGUGCAGCGCCAGCCUCACUAUCAGUGUGGACACACAUCUGUGGGAGGGGCUCUCGUUUUCCCCACCUUCCGGUGAGGGAACCAAGGCAGACUCAGCACCAAGCAGGGGUCAGGCCCUGGUGGAGGUGGAUUUUCUUCACUGUGGCACAGUCCUGCUCAGUUUCUAGUCCUGAUGGAGGUGGUGGAGGCCCUGGUGGAGGUGGAUUUUCUUCACCGUGGCACAGUCCUGCUCAGUCCCUGGACUGCCCCCCUGCACCCAGCAGCACAGGCCGCAGAGCCCAGGAGAUGUGGGCAGGAGCUUUCCCCUCGCCUGCCCCACUCCUGCCCACCCAGUGGGCACCCCGUAGAUGGGAGCAGCUCUCCGUCUAGCACUUGGACUGCUGGGCUGAGUCAUGGCUGCAGGCAACGGCUUAGUGGCAUCUCCCAGGUGCCACUGCAGGGAUAGCCUCUGUGUCUCCAGGCUCUGCUGUGGCCCCGCGGAGCCAAGCUUACCCAUGCCGCUGAGUCGGGGGCUGCAGAGGCCUGUGCGGGCUGCGGUGGCUAGACCUGGGCCUGGCUGCUCAGAUGCUGCUGGAACCCUGCUCUCAGCCUGGAGGCUGGCAGGUCUGCCAGGGGCCAACGGGCAGGCAUCGCCCGUCUGAAGCUCUUUGCCUCUGAAGGAGCUUCAGCGCCAGCCAGGGGCAGUUUAUGAGAAAUUCAGAGAAACAUGUAGGCUUCUCUGUGUCUUCUGAAGAACUGCCAAUGCCUCACCCACCUCUGGCCAGAGGACUCUGGAAAACUUGCGUUUCUGGUAUGUAUAGAAAAGCGACAUGCUAAGCCGCAAAGCCGCCCCCUUCAAGACGCAGCACACGCAAGGCUCACCCUGCCACGAGCACUGGUACCGGCUCACUUUCCGCUCUGCUCGGCGGGACUCCGGCCAGGCCCAGCGUGCAGCUGCAGAAAGGUUUAGAGUGAGGCUUCCACUUCACUCUCCGGUCCAAGAGUUAUACUAUCUGGUGGAAGUGUUUCUUUUUCCUUUUUUGGACAGUUAAGCUACAGCGAUGGGCCAACUGGCACCAGUGUGGAGAGACAGGUAUUCCUCACUUUGUGGCACCAACGUGGUUCUGGCAAAGUGGCCUCUUUUCCAGUAAAACAGUCUUCUCCCCUCCCUCGCCUUCCAUUUUAGGACCAGUGGUUUGUCCCUGGGGAAGCAACCCCAAUUACAGCCAGCUUUGCCAUCUGUGGAAAUAGCCUGGUCACCAGAGGCACAGAAGCCAGAUGCGUGGCCAUGCCGGCGGCAGCACCCGCGGCAGCACCCGGGGCAGCCCCUGCCCCCGACCCAUGAAUCUCAGUGUCCCCCAGGCCGCCCACGUCCCACUCUGCCCAGCCUACACCACCUCCCUCACCGCAAAGUGCCCGCUCUGCAGCUCCAUGCCCCUGCCCAGUGGAGCCUCAGCCCCGUCCCACCUGCAGCAUGCCCAGCCCAAGUGCCCGAAACCCAGAGCCUCGGACUCAGGGCAAAAGGAAGCCGCCCCAUUCCACCACAUCAGGGUCUCCACUGUGCUUAUUUAGAGCAGAGCACAACUCUCCUUGCGUCUGAGUCCCUUCACACAGGUGACUGAGAGGCUCAGGACAGAGCAUUGCAGGGGAGACAGAGGAGGGGCUCGGCCUCGCCAAGCAGCUGGCUCUAUUCAUUUAGCAGAACCGCUGCCCCACCCCCUCCCAGCCCCUGCACGGAGGGAGGCCACUGGGGCCGGCCCGUCCCCAACUUCUAUUUUGUUUUCGCCAGAGCCGCCUCCAGACUCCCUCUUCACAUUUUAUGUCAACUCUGGGGCCCUGCUGGCUGAAAGUGAGUUCUGUUUUCCGGCAGCCCUGUGGCUUUUGGACUCGGCCUUGAAAUUAGUUCAUGGCGACCCAGGCACACAUCGCGCUGGGAAGCCACGUGGGAGCCGUGCGGGUG
Molecule: long non-coding RNA, 4167 nt
Organism: Homo sapiens (human)
Lineage: Eukaryota; Metazoa; Chordata; Mammalia; Primates; Hominidae
Source: Ensembl